GACGUCAAAGCGUAUACAAAGUCGAGUCGGUUUAAGGAUACGUUCGUUGGGUAGGGGAGCGUUCUGUAAGCCUGUGAAGGUGGCCUGUGAGGGUUGCUGGAGGUAUCAGAAGUGCGAAUGCUGACAUAAGUAACGAUAAAGCGGGUGAAAAGCCCGCUCGCCGGAAGACCAAGGGUUCCUGUCCAACGUUAAUCGGGGCAGGGUGAGUCGACCCCUAAGGCGAGGCCGAAAGGCGUAGUCGAUGGGAAACGGGUUAAUAUUCCCGUACUUGGUGUUACUGCGAAGGGGGGACGGAGAAGGCUAUGUUGGCCGGGCGACGGUUGUCCCGGUUUAAGCGUGUAGGUGUGUGUUCCAGGUAAAUCCGGUUCACUUUAACACUGAGGCGUGACGACGAGGCACUACGGUGCUGAAGCAACAAAUGCCCUGCUUCCAGGAAAAGCCUCUAAGCAUCAGGUAACAUCAAAUCGUACCCCAAACCGACACAGGUGGUCAGGUAGAGAAUACCAAGGCGCUUGAGAGAACUCGGGUGAAGGAACUAGGCAAAAUGGUGCCGUAACU
This 558-nucleotide ribosomal RNA is filed under the name Salmonella enterica subsp. enterica serovar Indiana. RNAcentral's name for it is "partial 23S ribosomal RNA". It matches the Rfam family "Bacterial large subunit ribosomal RNA", at positions 1190 to 1735 of the family's 2925-position model. The record is from RNAcentral. Lineage: Bacteria; Pseudomonadati; Pseudomonadota; Gammaproteobacteria; Enterobacterales; Enterobacteriaceae.